UCUUACAGUUACCAGUGGAGCAGAACUUUGAAUUGUACAAUAUCCCCAGGACAUCAAUGUGUCUCUUAAUUCAACUGUUUUGAUACUGUGUGACUUUGACUACCCGGAUAAAACCGUAAUAGAGGUGUACAGGAGGAAAGACUCUACCUGUAAUCAGCUGGUGCUCCAGCCAACCGCAAGUACCUCUGAUGUUCAAAAGUCACAGGUACAAAUUAAAACAGAGCAGUCCAAAAACCUUUCAAUCUUACGACUGAACAACGUUCAGCGGAACGACGCUGGCAUGUCUUUCUGUGAUGUAAGGCUAAUUUUACCACUACCAGUAAGGCACAAAUGUGGAAGUGGCAGCACGCUGACAGUACAUGAGUCCAAAUGCAAUGGCAAUAACCGGCAUGCUAAAACAUGGUGGGUGUGGUUCUUUCUUCUUUGAUACAGCAUCUGUUCCUCUAUUAUCAUCAUAGCUUUAUCCGUAAGUAAUCAUUCAGAAAUAAGUAUUACUAAACUAAAUAUGCUCCUGGGGUAUUUCUGAUGAAAAGGGAUGGGUG
This is a long non-coding RNA of Gopherus agassizii (Agassiz's desert tortoise), 542 nucleotides long. NCBI's taxonomy places the organism in Eukaryota, Metazoa, Chordata, Testudines, Testudinidae. The record is from Ensembl.